GGCCGCGGGAAUUCGAUUCAGGCCUAACACAUGCAAGUCGAGCGGACCGACGGGAGCUUGCUCCCUUAGGUCAGCGGCGGACGGGUGAGUAACACGUGGGUAACCUGCCUGUAAGACUGGGAUAACUCCGGGAAACCGGGGCUAAUACCGGAUGCUUGAUUGAACCGCAUGGUUCAAUCAUAAAAGGUGGCUUUUAGCUACCACUUGCAGAUGGACCCGCGGCGCAUUAGCUAGUUGGUGAGGUAACGGCUCACCAAGGCGACGAUGCGUAGCCGACCUGAGAGGGUGAUCGGCCACACUGGGACUGAGACACGGCCCAGACUCCUACGGGAGGCAGCAGUAGGGAAUCUUCCGCAAUGGACGAAAGUCUGACGGAGCAAAAAGCGCGUGAGUGAUGAAGGUUUUCGGAUCGUAAAACUCAAGGAUAGGGAAGAACAAGUACCGUCGAAUAGGGCGGCACCUGAC
Molecule: ribosomal RNA, 465 nt
Filed under: uncultured bacterium
Lineage: Bacteria
Description: bacterial SSU rRNA
Rfam family: Bacterial small subunit ribosomal RNA
Source: RNAcentral